AGCGCGGGUUUGUGCUUCCGUUGGCUCCGGGGGCGCGGGCCCAGCCUCUCCGUGCCCCAGGCUCGCUGCACCCCGCACCGCUCUCCGCUCUGCCCACGCCGCAGUUUCUCCCCGGCACACAAGAUUUUGUGUUUGUGGAUUUAUUUGCGAGCUCCCCGGCUGUGAGUGAAGGGCGCAGGGAGGCGGCGCAGCCGGGGCGGCUCAGGGCUCCGGGUUCCAGGCAGCUGCCUCCAUGCGCACAAAGGCCCCUCUCGCCACGGGCCGGCAACUUGGAGACAGGUCGUUUGGGGCGAGGACCUGCCUUCUCAUGUGGACGGAGGUGAGCGGCCAGAUGGCAGCUCCCGCACACUUGCUGUGUUACUGCAGGAUGUAACCGACAACAUGGACAUAAUGAGUGACCGGAUGGGAAAUCUCAGCAGAGACAUGGGAACCAUGAGCUCGUUCACUGGAAGGGCCUAACAGAGGACUGGAAACUGCAGAAGAAAAGGGAGCCCACUGAGUGUGUGAGAUGCUCAGCACUGCCCAUCCUGGCCUGGGCUCCGCCCUCACCUGCCUCCCAGCUCAGGCACCUGUCUGCCCAAGUGAGCAGCUCUCUGCUUUCCCCAGCAGCUGCUCCAGCAAGAUAAUGAUGGCUCCAGCCGGGACGACGGCACAGAUCGAUUUUGAAAAUCAGUAAGGACAUGGUUCCCAGAAUAUUUGUCCUCCGCACACCAAGUGGAGCCUGACAGAGUGGAGCGUUUGCACCCCGACAUGUGGAGACAGAAGCGUCACGUGGCUGUGAGUGUGUUAACACACCGUGCAGUGACUUGGGGAUCGCGUCAGAUGCUGUCUUUGCAAACGGAGCGCCCCGCCCCUGUAUUUGUGGUCUAUUUUGGGAUUAACAGUGUUGGGUUGUGAAGGAGGACAUCGAGGAACCUCCGCGGCUGACACCACCCUGUCUCCCCGUCUCCCUUUCUCCGCAAGUCUUCUGCAGUUGGUUGCUGUCUUGCUGUGCAAACAGAUUUAAAAAAUCGCUGUUAUGACAAUGAGGCUUUUUCAUAACUUUG
Molecule: long non-coding RNA, 1046 nt
Organism: Zalophus californianus (California sea lion)
Lineage: Eukaryota; Metazoa; Chordata; Mammalia; Carnivora; Otariidae
Exons: 5
Source: RefSeq, a predicted model, not a curated record